This is an RNA transcript of Anarrhichthys ocellatus (wolf-eel), 2051 nucleotides long. It is a transcript of the gene named cyclin D-type binding-protein 1, with no coding region annotated. The record is from RefSeq and is a predicted model, not a curated record. Lineage: Eukaryota; Metazoa; Chordata; Actinopteri; Perciformes; Anarhichadidae. The transcript is spliced from 11 exons.
GUUCCACAACACGCAUGUAUCAAGCUGUUCAACUAACUUUGGUGUCAUGAGUGCUGAUAAUUGUGCUGAUAAUUGUGGUGAAAACGUGUCUCUGCCUUUACGAAAUCUCCUGAACUCCAUCCAGUGUAUCAGAGACCGAGUCAGAGAUGGCGAAUCCAACAAGUCAGACGGAGCGUUCAACCUCUCCAACUUCUGGGACUCUCUGAACCAGGCAGUGAAGGCCGUGUCCCAUGAAGCCACUAAACUCAGCCUGGCCUUCUCCAAACCCCCGCUGCCUUCACAACAGGACGUAGAGAAGUUAUCAGAGUCCACCCUGAAGAGUGUCCUGAGUCUGUCCACAGUGUAUUACUGGCUACCUAAGAGCCAAGGUGUCAGUCUGCGUCGACACGUCAGAGACGCCACAGUCGAGGUUCUGGAGGGCGUCGCACAGCUGGUGGAGGUCAUCCUGAGCUCACCGCUCCAGAGUCUGUCCCAGGAUCAGUUGACAUCAACAGGGGGUGUGUGGUCAGCCUGCGACCACUUUGCCCGGUUGCCACAAGAUAAUAAGGCGGCUGUGUUGAUGGUUCUGUCUGAUCAGAUUGGAGUUGUGAAGGAUGCCAUAGAGGAAAUAGAGCAGGCGUUGUCCGAGGACCAGGACCCGUUCAGUGACGUCCUCGACAACGAUCAGGAGCCUCGAGGCAACCAGGAUACCUACUGGUCAGAGAAGGACCGGCGCGUGAUUGGUCCGUGCCAAGGGCUGAUGAAGGCGGCGGCGGCGUGCCUGAGGAAGCUGACGUCGGCCGUCAAAGCCAACGGCGACGUCGCCACGUCUCAGAAUCUCGCUCAGCUCGACGACCUGGCUGAUAUCACCAAGGAAAUCAGUCCUGGUCUUGAUGAUCUGGCUCUGUGCCUCUACCCACCAAUGGACUACAGCGGAGUGGAGAACAACGUGUCUAAAUUGGCGUCAUUGUUGAAGAAGGUUCUGGGGAUCAUCAGGUAAGAUCGAUUGAUAAUGACCAUUCUCACACAUCAUAAAAAUGUCAGACUAGGGUCGCAUAGUUCAGGGAAUAUUCACGGCGGAAACUUUGCAGUGGAAUUAAGAGGAAUUUAUGGGAAUAAAAUUGAGAUAGAGGGUUUAUUUGCUCUGGUUUUAUUUACCAUGUCAUAAACAGAUAGAAACAAACCUUUCACCGGAUCAUAAGCAGACAUAAUCGUCUCCUUAUGACAGACAAGUAUGUCUGCUCAUGGGCUGUGGUUCAGAGGCAGAGCAGGUCCUCCAGUUGGAAGGACGGCAGUUCGAUCCCUGGCUCCAUGUCGAAGUGUCCUUGGCCAAGACACUGAACCCCAAAUUGAAAACGAGAGAGGGGCUAUACAAUUUAUAGUCAAUUUAUCAUUUAACCCUUUUAAUACAAAAACAAUCUACUAUUUGAAGAAAAACCUCCAAAAUAAAACGCUUUUCUCCAAAACAGAAUGUUCCUCUCAGGCCUCCACAUCCUCCCCAUGACGUCCUGUGUGUGACUGAAGUGUGCAGUCCACUGCAUGGUCACAAUUAAACUCAAUUGGCAAAUUUUUAACCAAAACAUGCCAUAACCCCUGCUUUUGUUUUUUUAUGUGUUUUAUCCUCCUAAAUAAGUUCACUAUUAAAAGGUAGGAUUUUUAUAUUGAAAUUCCUAAACUUAACUUGAAAUGGCUUCAAGUCGACUCCGUCAGCCAAUUCUGCUUCCAGCGAUCAGUGACUUCUAAAUUCCUGAUGGGAGCACCUUUAUCUGGAAUCAGAGUGUGAGGAGCAUGUGGGUGGUGUGUUUGUACAUUGGCUCAUCUUAUCAGAUCAGAUUAAAAAAAACAAGUUUCCUUCUGUGACUGAUGGGAGCUGACGAUGGUCGACUUUUAAACUUUUUUUUUCAAAUCACGGAUGUCUUUAUUGUCUUUAUUCUUUAUCUUUAUCUUUAUCUUUAUCUCUACUUAUUCCCACCUGAACAGGUCCAGUCAUGUGUGUGGAGAAUCACAGCUGACCUGGGUUCAGUUCUUAGAUGGAGCCGUCGAUCACAACCUGCAGAAAGCUAAAGACCUCA